This 814-nucleotide ribosomal RNA is filed under the name uncultured bacterium. Its description in RNAcentral is "bacterial SSU rRNA". It matches the Rfam family "Bacterial small subunit ribosomal RNA", at positions 8 to 796 of the family's 1533-position model. The record is from RNAcentral.
AGAGUUUGAUCCUGGCUCAGAUUGAACGCUGGCGGCGUGCUUAACACAUGCAAGUCGUACGAGAACGCUUUAGCUUGCUAGAGCUAGUAAAGUGGCGCACGGGUGAGUAACACGUGGGUAAUUUGCCUUUAGGUCUGGGACAACACUGCGAAAGCGGUGCUAAUACCGGAUAACAUCAGUGAGACCUCGGUUUUGCGGAUCAAAGGUGGCCUCUACACGUAAGCCUCCGCUUAAAGAAAAGCCCGCGUACCAUUAGCUUGUUGGUGAGGUAACGGCUCACCAAGGCGACGACGGGUAGCUGGUCUGAGAGGACGAUCAGCCACACUGGGACUGAGACACGGCCCAGACUCCUACGGGAGGCAGCAGUGGGGAAUCUUGCGCAAUGGGCGAAAGCCUGACGCAGCAACGCCGCGUGGAGGAAGAAGGCCUUAGGGUUGUAAACUCCUGUCAGGGGAGAAGAAGGCACCUGGGUUAAUAGCCCAAGGGCUGACGGUACCCCCAGAGGAAGCCACGGCUAACUACGUGCCAGCAGCCGCGGUAAUACGUAGGUGGCGAGCGUUGUCCGGAAUCAUUGGGCGUAAAGCGCGCGUAGGCGGCUUGUCAGGUCUGAUGUGAAAUCUUGGGGCUCAACUCCAAGCGUGCAUCGGAAACCGGCUGGCUAGAGUCUGGGAGAGGAGAGUGGAAUUCCUGGUGUAGCGGUGAAAUGCGUAGAUAUCAGGAGGAACACCAGUAGCGAAGGCGGCUCUCUGGAACAGUACUGACGCUGAGGCGCGAAAGCUAGGGGAGCAAACAGGAUUAGAUACCCUGGUAGUCC